CGGGGUGAGUAACACGUGGGUAACCUGCCCGGAAGUGGGGAAUACCUCGGGGAAACUCGAGCUAAUACCGCAUGACAUCUUCGGAACGAAAGUUCAGACGAUCAAAGCGGGGUCGCAAGAUCUCGCGCUACCGGAUGGGCCCGCGCCCGAUUAGCUAGUUGGUGAGGUAACGGCUCACCAAGGCUUCGAUCGGUAACCGGCCUGAGAGGGCGAUCGGUCACACCGGAACUGAGACACGGUCCGG
This 244-nucleotide ribosomal RNA is filed under the name uncultured bacterium. RNAcentral describes it as "partial 16S ribosomal RNA". It matches the Rfam family "Bacterial small subunit ribosomal RNA", at positions 104 to 334 of the family's 1533-position model. The record is from RNAcentral.